ACGGAAGUUACAAAGGGCGCAUGGAGGAUGCCUUGGCUCUUGGCGGCGAGGAAGGACGUGCUAAGCUGCGAAAAGCUGCGGGGAGUUGCACAGAAGCUGUGAUCCGCAGAUGUCCGAAUGGGGAAACCCGGCUGGUUGAAGACCAGUCACACCGCAAGGUGAGCAAACCCGGAGAACUGAAACAUCUAAGUACCCGGAGGAAGAGAAAACAACAGUGAUUCCGUAAGUAGUGGCGAGCGAACACGGAUAAGCCCAAACCGUUAUUGUUACGGCAAUAGCGGGGUUAUAGGACAUUCUUUUAGUUAGUUACAGGAAGAAGAACAUGAUUGGAAAAUCAGACCAGAGAGGGUGAUAGUCCCGUACUUGCAAAUGUAAUUAAUGUGAGUGUAUCCUGAGUAAGCCGGGGUUGGAGAAGCCCCGGUUGAAUUUGCCGGCACCAUCCGGUAAGGCUAAAUACGACCAAGAGACCGAUAGUGAAUCAGUACCGUGAGGGAAAGGUGAAAAGAACCGUGCGUAACGGAGUGAAAAGAACCUGAAACCAUGCGCUUACAAGCGGUCGGAGCCCUUUCGUGGGGUGACGGCGUGCCUUUUGCAUAAUGAGCCUACGAGUUACUCUUACUGGCAAGGUUAAAUGUGUUAACACAUGCAGCCGAAGCGAAAGCGAGUCUGAACAGGGCGCUUAGUCAGUAGGAGUAGACGCGAAACUUUGUGAUCUACCCAUGAGCAGGUUGAAGGUACCGUAACAGGUAGUGGAGGACCGAACCAGUAAACGUUGAAAAGUUUUUGGAUGACUUGUGGGUAGGGGUGAAAGGCCAAUCAAACUGAGAAAUAGCUCGUACUCCCCGAAAUGCCUUUAGGGGCAGCCUCUUGUGAUGUUAUACCGAGGUAGAGCGACGGAUAGAACUAGGGGGAGUCACAUCCUACCAAAUUCUGCCCAACUCCGAAUGCGGUGUAAUUAACAAGGGAGUGAGGGCUGGGGUGCUAAGGUCCCAGUCCGAGAGGGAAAGAACCCAGAUCAUCCGCUAAGGUCCCUAAAUCAGGACUAAGUUGAACAAAGGAAGUCUAUCUGCAUUGACAGCCAGGAUGUUUGCUUGGAAGCAGCAAUUCAUUUAAAGAGUGCGUAACAGCUCACUGGUCGAGCGGAUGGGGCAUCGAUAAUAAACGGGCAUCAAGUUUUGUACCGAAGCGAUGAAUGUAUGUAAAUACGUGGUAGGGGAGCAUUCUUCCGGCAUCGAAGCUGUGAUGUAAGUCAUGGUGGAGCUUGAAGAAAAGCAAAUGUAGGCAUAAGUAACGAUAAAGCAGGCGAGAAACCUGCUCACCGUAAGACUAAGGUUUCCUGAUCAACGUUAAUCGGAUCAGGGUUAGUCGGGGCCUAAGGGGUUAGCGAAGGCGAAGCCCUGAUGGACAACUGGUUAAUAUUCCAGUACUUAGUAAAUGAGCCAUCAAGUGACGGAGGGGCGCGUUAGCUGCGGACAGACGGAAUUGUCCGUUAAAGUGAGUGAAAGCUCAUGAUAGUACACUACGUCUUCGGACAGAGUGAUAAUGCUAAGAAGCCACUUCCAAGAAAAGCUUGGGAAGCAAUUGUUUACUGACCCGUACCGUAAACCGACACAGGUAGUCGGGUAGAAUAUACUCAGGUGCUCGAGUGAGUCACGGCUAAGGAACUCGGCAAAUUAACCCUGUAACUUCGGGAAAAGGGGAACCACAGCAAUGUGGUCGCAGAGAAAUGGCCCAGGCGACUGUUUAACAAAAACACAGGGCUUUGCCAAAACGAAAGUUGACGUAUAAGGCCUGACACCUGCCCGGUGCUGGAAGGUUAAGAGGGGAUGUUAGUCGCAAGGCAAAGCAUUGAAUCGAAGCCCCAGUAAACGGCGGCCGUAACUAUAACGGUCCUAAGGUAGCGAAAUUCCUUGUCGGGUAAGUUCCGACCUGCACGAAUGGUGUAACGAUCUGGGCACUGUCUCGGCCGUGAGCUCGGUGAAAUUGUAGUAGCGGUGAAGAUGCCGCUUACCCGCAACGGGACGGAAAGACCCCGUGCACCUUUACUAUAGCUUAACGUGGGUGCUGGGUCAAGCAUGUGUAGGAUAGGUGGGAGACUGCGAACCGGUGUCGCCAGGCAUCGGGGAGUCAACGUUGAAAUACCACCCUUGCUUGAUUUAGCGCCUAAUCCUUAGUUGGAGACAGCGUUUGGUGGGUAGUUUGACUGGGGUGGUCGCCUCCAAAAAAGUAUCGGAGGCUUCUAAAGGUUCGCUCAGUACGCUUGGUAACCGUACGCAGAGUGCAAUAGCAAAAGCGAGCUUGACUGUGAGACCGACAAGUCGAGCAGGUAGGAAACUAGAGUAUAGUGAUCCGGUGGUUCCGCAUGGAAGGGCCAUCGCUCAAAGGAUAAAAGGUACGCCGGGGAUAACAGGCUGAUCUCCCCCAAGAGCUCACAUCGACGGGGAGGUUUGGCACCUCGAUGUCGGCUCGUCACAUCCUGGGGCUGGAGAAGGUCCCAAGGGUUGGGCUGUUCGCCCAUUAAAGUGGCACGCGAGCUGGGUUCAGAACGUCGUGAGACAGUUCGGUCCCUAUCUGUUGUGGGCGUAGGAUAUUUGAAGAAGUGCUGACCUUAGUACGAGAGGACCGGGUUGGACGGACCGCUGGUGUAGCUGUUGUCAUGCCCAUGGCAGUGCAGCGUAGCUAUGUCCGGAUGAGAUAAGCGCUGAAAGCAUCUAAGUGCGAAACUCACUUCAAGAUGAGAUAUCCAUAUAGGACCGUUGGAGAUGACAACGUAGAUAGGCGAUAGGUAUACGCAUAGCAAUAUGUUCAGCCAAGUCGUACUAAUGAUCCGAAGACUUCCGUUU
This 2843-nucleotide ribosomal RNA is filed under the name Xanthocytophaga flava. Its description in RNAcentral is "23S ribosomal RNA". It matches the Rfam family "Bacterial large subunit ribosomal RNA". The record is from RNAcentral. Lineage: Bacteria; Pseudomonadati; Bacteroidota; Cytophagia; Cytophagales; Rhodocytophagaceae.